UACGUAGGCAGCGAGCGUUGUUCGGAAUUACUGGGCGUAAAGAGUGUGUAGGCGGUGCUCUAAGUUCGGUGUGAAAUCUCCUGGCUCAACUGGGAGGGUGCGCCGGAAACUGGAGUGCUUGAGUGUGGGAGAGGAAAGCGGAAUUCCUGGUGUAGCGGUGAAAUGCGUAGAUAUCAGGAGGAACACCUGUGGUGUAGGCGGCUUUCUGGACCAUAGCUGACGCUGAGACACGAAAGCGUGGGUAGCAAACAGG
RNAcentral lists this ribosomal RNA (253 nucleotides) under uncultured bacterium. RNAcentral describes it as "partial 16S ribosomal RNA". It matches the Rfam family "Bacterial small subunit ribosomal RNA", at positions 524 to 776 of the family's 1533-position model. The record is from RNAcentral.